This 326-nucleotide long non-coding RNA is filed under the name Gallus gallus (chicken). The record is from RNAcentral. Lineage: Eukaryota; Metazoa; Chordata; Aves; Galliformes; Phasianidae.
CAUUACUCUUCUGAAGCUGCAUCUUUUCUGGAUGCAUAUUCUCAUCAGUUUCCUCCGUAAGCUGCAAAGCCUUCUUGAUAAUGCUUUCUCUGGCUUCAAGGAUUUCACCAUCGUCCAAAUCUUCCUCACAUAGCCACCACGGCACUGCAUCCUUUUGCUUUGUUUCUUUUUUCCUGGGCUGUCCCAAUGCCUCAAGGACUCUGGACUUCUUUUCUGAAUUUCCAGGUGAAUCGUCUGAAAGAGACUCUUUCAGAAACUCUUCAAACUGCUCAUCUAAUUCUUCUUUUGUGCACCGAUGAGCCAUAAUCUGCAACUGGACGUUACCU